ACCGGAUUACGGGACUUGCGGUGUUCACUCAACGAUAGACAAUCACGAACUACCUGCGGCGAGACUGAUGUUUUAAUUCCAAUCUACGCGUUCGUAUGUGAUUUUACACCUACAAACAUAAAGUAACGAAGAUUAACGAAAACAGUGUUGCCUUGGAUGCAAAACUGUAUAUGAUAUUUUUAUAUCAUACGAGUUAAUCAAUUUUUCCGGAUCAUUCUACUGGUAUACUGGUAUGCUAGUCCCUAUUAUAUCGUUCACGAUUUGAUAACUUCAUUCCUAAACCUUACUCAAUGAUUUCUUUUAUCGCAAACAAACAUUUCGCGCAACUUGACUCGCUCUAUUUGGCGAGGAAACUUAUAGUCGGGUUGUCUUGUUGACCGUCAUCUUUUUUACUGUGGGGUAAACUUAACGAAAAUGCUCCUGCUGUCAUGUCACUUUUUGACAACGAGACGUCAGACCGGAAAUUUUCGCGAUCGCGUCGACGCGUAGUUUUCAAUUCGAGUUACGGUAACGUGAAAAAGUAUUUUAUCCUAAUUUCUAAACUAAUCCUAAGCGUUAAUUCGAUCGACUAGUGUAUCCCUGAUUGAAGCUGACCUGAAUAAUCACGGAUCGGUCGCGGUUUUUAAUCGGCAACGUAGCAGAGUGUGCUCGGUCACGACAGAUUCUGUUGUGACAUCACGCUCGUCCGGAUCUUCCAGCGAAGGGAUUUCUAAACUUCCAUCUUCUACUGGUUCCCGUGAGGAUUCCUGGACGGCACUAUCCAGAACAAUGUUAAAAAUGUAUGGACUGAAGAACUCGAUGUCUAAUGUUUGGAUUGACCUAUCUGUCGCCAAAAGUGCCUGCGGGUUAGCCAAAUUGCCAUCCACGUUAUCGCCUAUUGUGAGUCGUAUGUCAAAUGCCCGCCAGAAGUCGUAUCCACAAAUUAAAUCCUUCGACACGUCCGGAAUAAUGACUGUUGGAAUCACUUUCGUCACUUGAUUGAAAGUGAAUGGUUCCAUCGUUUGACCAUAUCCAGUGAGCUAAUAACGGAAAUACUAGCCCCUGAAUCUAGUAAACCUUGUACCGGAGUGCCGAGAAUAUGGACCGUAAUAUGUGGGCAGGUAACUGGAUUUAAGUUCAUGGUAAAAAUUUGAUUGAAAUAGUCAUAGUUGGGGAGUUGUUCAGAAUUACAAUUAGGAGAAAGAGAGUCCCCGAUUCCUUCUCCUAAUUCUCGUUUUUUGAAUCGAAUUUCUGGUAGUGAUCUCUAGGGCACGUGGCCUUACUGACGUUCGGUUCACCGCAUGCGAAGCAGUACAUCCGUCGUGGUUGCUGGCAAUAUUUAGCAAAAUGCCCUGCACUUCUACAAU
Molecule: long non-coding RNA, 1346 nt
Organism: Armigeres subalbatus
Lineage: Eukaryota; Metazoa; Arthropoda; Insecta; Diptera; Culicidae
Exons: 3
Source: RefSeq, a predicted model, not a curated record